ACGAAGUCAUUGGAAGGAAGUAAUUACCAACGAAAAUUGGUGUCCUCCUUCUUCAGCAAGAUAAUCUGCUUCAGCAUUAACCUCCCGGUAGUCAUGGCGGAUUUUAGUAGUUAUAGUUUUAAAAAUAUCUCACAUCUCAUGAAAAAUUAUAGUCAGCCUCUAUGGAACAUUAGCUUCGCCUUUAUGCAAAGCUACAAUGUUUGUUGAAUCUCCUUCUAUAAUCUUCGCUCCCCCAAAUCUCGACAAGAGUUUAAUGCCUUCCAAAAGCCCCCCAGCUUCAGUGUCAUUAACUGUAGUAACACCACAAAGGCCAGAACAAAUAGCAUGUCCCAUAUGGUCUCUUAUCAAUCCACCAGAACCAGUUGUGCCUGGGUUUCCAAAAAAACUUCAAUAAACAAUCAGUUUGUAUGCAUUAGCAAUUGGUGGUGUCCAAACAACCUCCAUUCGAUUUGAUCUAGGAGAAGAUAAAGUAGCCACAACCCUAGGAUUUACAAUGAUUUGAC
This 503-nucleotide long non-coding RNA is filed under the name Amborella trichopoda. Its description in RNAcentral is "long non-coding RNA (ATRI_LNC000937)". The record is from RNAcentral. Lineage: Eukaryota; Viridiplantae; Streptophyta; Magnoliopsida; Amborellales; Amborellaceae.